AUUGAACGCUGGCGGCAUGCCUUACACAUGCAAGUCGAACGGUAACAGGGAGCUUGCUCCGCUGACGAGUGGCGAACGGGUGAGUAAUGUAUCGGAACGUACCUUUCAGUGGGGGAUAACGUAGCGAAAGUUACGCUAAUACCGCAUAUUCUGUGAGCAGGAAAGCAGGGGGACCUUCGGGCCUUGCGCUGAUUGAGCGGCUGAUAUCAGAUUAGCUAGUUGGUGAGGUAAAAGGCUCACCAAGGCGACGAUCUGUAGCGGGUCUGAGAGGAUGAUCCGCCACACUGGAACUGAGACACGGUCCAGACUCCUACGGGAGGC
RNAcentral lists this ribosomal RNA (321 nucleotides) under uncultured bacterium. Its description in RNAcentral is "bacterial SSU rRNA". It matches the Rfam family "Bacterial small subunit ribosomal RNA", at positions 30 to 349 of the family's 1533-position model. The record is from RNAcentral.